UAAAGUAUCAAGUCAGAUUUUUUUCAGUCUGUACUUUAGUGGUAAAAUAUCACCAGUUAAAGGAUUAACAUGUUCUUGUAAUAUAACUAGUGCUAGAAAGUUUAAUUUUGAAACCAAGUACAUCUACUUGGGUGGCGAAUCGUGUAACAGGGUCAUAGUAACAGUUGACGAUAACCCUGUAUACACAUGUGACGAUGAUGGGGUAUUUCUCGGAUACAGCGACAGUGGCCCGAUCUACAGGAAAGCUACGAUAGACUUCAAUAAUAUGACCGCUGGCUACGAUGAUGUAAUAUGGAUAGAGUUUAACGGUGGGUUUUUUGCAGGUCCUGAGACGGUGGAGGCGUCAUGUGGUUGUUUUAAACCAGUGAUAAAUGGUGGUUGGAGUAACUGGUCGGAAUACAGUAUCUGCUCUGCCUCAUGUGGUGGGAGUACAAAAACCAGGACAAGGAAUUGUGAUAAUCCUACAGCAGCUAAUGGUGGAAUGUAUUGUACUGGUAACUCUACCGAGACAGUUGAAUGUAAUCAACUAGAACAGUGUCCAGCCGGCCUACAAUUUGAGAUUAUUCUAACUGGGAUUAUAACUGGUGUUUUGGUAGCCAUCAUUCUUGUAUGUUUUAUAACAUGGUUUAUAAGACGAAAUAUCACGAAACCUCAACCAACUGUCCAUUAUGAAAACACAACAGGCCAUAAUGAAAACAUAACAGAAAAUGUGUAUGGCAUCAUAUAACAGAUGACUGUCGCUAAUGUGCAUGUAAACACACAAGGGCAAGGUGAAGUAACAAGUCACCAUGGCAACAACGAGGAAGAUACAUUAAUGUAAUUUAAGAAAUGAAAUAGGGCCUAAAGUCCAUUUUUUCUGUACAGAUUAAGUA
Long non-coding RNA from Patella vulgata (common limpet), 872 nucleotides. RefSeq lists it as uncharacterized. The transcript has 5 exons. Lineage: Eukaryota; Metazoa; Mollusca; Gastropoda; Patellidae. The record is from RefSeq and is a predicted model, not a curated record.